RNAcentral lists this long non-coding RNA (1497 nucleotides) under Chrysolophus pictus (golden pheasant). RNAcentral describes it as "lncRNA (ENSCPIG00010012350.1)". Lineage: Eukaryota; Metazoa; Chordata; Aves; Galliformes; Phasianidae. The record is from RNAcentral.
UGCGGCCGGGCGGUGCGGGCGGUGACUGCCUGUGGGCGCGGCCCGGCUUCCAUCACCGCCUCUCGGGCUUCCCGGGCUGCGUCGUCACGGACGGCGUGGUCAACUUCUUCCUGGCGCGGACCGACAAAGUCCGCCAGGUCGGCUUCGACCCGAGGCUGCGCAGGGUGGCGCAUCUCGAGUUCUUCAUUGACGGGCUGGGGGUGCUGCACGUGGGCUCCUGCGAGGACGUGGUUGUGGAUCACGCCUCCAAGCUGGCGCUGCCGUGGCGCAAAUCGGAGGCGGAUCGGCUCUACGCCCGGUACCGCUACCCCGGCAGCCGCGACGACGGCGCCCGCCUCAAACACGGCCUCUUCUUCUUCAAGAAUCGCUUCAAGUGCAUGCUGGGCAAUUAGCCCCGCGCCGCGGCCACCGCGGGGACGCCGGGCUCUUGGAGAACUUUGGGCACUGCGGGCAACGCGGGGACUUUGGGCACUUCGGGCACUUUGGGCACUGUGGGCACUGUGGGCACUUUGGGCACUGUGGGUGCCAUGGGCACUGCGGGACUUUGGGUCCUUUGGGCACUGUGAGCACUGUGGGAACUGUGGGUGCCGUGAGUACUUUGGGUCCUUUGGGUAAUUUGGGUCCUUUGGGCUCUGUGGGUGCCAUGGGCACUUUGGGCGCCUUUAGGUGCCAUGGGUCCUUUGGGUCCUUUGGGCACUGUGGGCACUUCGGGAACUGUGGGUGCCAUGGGUACUUAGGGUCCUUUGGGUAAUUUGGGUCCUUUGGGCACUGUGGGAACUUUGGGUUCUUUGGGCACUUUGGGCACCCUUUGGGUGCCAUGGGUCCUUUGGGUCCUUUGGGCACUGUGGGCACUUCGGGAACUGUGGGUGCCAUGGGUACUUAGGGUCCUUUGGGUAAUUUGGGUCCUUUGGGCUCUGUGGGUGCCAUGGGCACUUUGGGCGCCUUUAGGUGCCAUGGGUCCUUUGGGUCCUUUGGGUAAUUUGGGUACUUUGAGUUCUUUGGGCGCUUUGGGCACUGUGCGUGCCAUGGGCACUGCGGGGACUUUGGGCGCUGUGGGUACUUUGGGCACUUUGGGCACUGCAGGCAUCACAGGGACUUUGGGUCCUUUGGGUACUCUGGGUGCUAUGGGUCCUUUGGGUCCUUUGGGCAUUGUGGGCACUUUGGGCACCCUUUAGGUGCCAUGGGUCCUUUGGGUAAUUUGGGUCCCUUGGGCACUGUGGGUGCCAUGGGCACUGCGGGGACUCUGGGCACUUUAGGCACCGUUUGGAUGCCACGAGUCCUUUGGGCACUGUGGGCACUGUGGGAACUGUGGGUGCCAUGGGUACUUUGGGUCCUUUGAGUAAUUUGGGUACUUUGAGUUCUUUGGGCACUUCGGGCAUCACAGGGACUUUGAGUCCUUUGGGCGCUGUGGGUGCCAUGGGCACUGCGGGGACUUUGGGCACUUUGGGCGCCCUUUGGGUGCUUUGGAUACUUUGGGCACUUUGGGCACCGUGGGCA